Molecule: ribosomal RNA, 253 nt
Filed under: uncultured bacterium
Lineage: Bacteria
Description: partial 16S ribosomal RNA
Rfam family: Bacterial small subunit ribosomal RNA
Source: RNAcentral
UACGGGGGGGGCAAGCGUUGUUCGGAAUUACUGGGCGUAAAGGGCUCGUAGGCGGCCAACUAAGUCAGACGUGAAAUCCCUCGGCUUAACCGGGGAACUGCAUCUGAUACUGGAUGGCUUGAGUUCGGGAGAGGGAUGCGGAAUUCCAGGUGUAGCGGUGAAAUGCGUAGAUAUCUGGAGGAACACCGGUGGCGAAGGCGGCAUCCUGGACCGACACUGACGCUGAGGAGCGAAAGCCAGGGGAGCAAACAGG